Molecule: long non-coding RNA, 1735 nt
Organism: Beta vulgaris subsp. vulgaris (sugar beet)
Lineage: Eukaryota; Viridiplantae; Streptophyta; Magnoliopsida; Caryophyllales; Amaranthaceae
Exons: 3
Source: RefSeq, a predicted model, not a curated record
UUGAAGCUUUGUAUGGUAGGCGUUGUCGUACUCCUUUGUGUUGGAGUGAUAUUGGUGAGUCGGUUGUGAUUGGUCCAGAGAUGAUUCAGGAGACUGUUGAGCAGGUCAAGCUCAUCCAGCAGAAAAUGAAGGCGGCGCAAGAUAGACAGAAGAGCUAUCGUGAUAAGCAUCGUCGCCAUAAGGAGUUUCAGGUGAGAGAGAAAGUGUUGCUUAGGGUCUCUCCUAUGAAAGGCGUUAUGAGAUUUGGGAAGAAGGGCAAGUUGAGCCCUAAGUUCAUUGGCCCGUAUGAGAUUCUGGAGAGAAUAGGAGAUGUGGCUUAUAGAUUGGCAUUGCCGCCAGGCGUUGAUCGUGCGCAUAACGUGUUCCAUGUUUCUCAGUUGCGGUGAUAUAUUAGUGACCCUUCGCAUGUGCUACAGCCAAAGUCUCUCCAGUUAGAUGAUAACAUGACUUAUGAGGAGUUUCCAGUUCAGAUUCUAGAUCACAAAGUCCGAAAGACUCGCAAAGGUGAGACGAAGAUCGUGAAGGUGCUGUGGUCAAACCACAACUCGGAGGAGUCUACUUGGGAAGCUGAGGAUGCGAUGCGUCUUAAGUAUCCCCAUCUCUUCACUCAGGUAAAUUUUUAGUUACGAGGACGUAACUCUAUUUUAAGGGGGGUAGAAUUCAUAAUAGUUACGUUCGUUAGUGUUGGAAGUUGUUAUGGUAACAUGUGAUUAAAAUUUUUCUGAUAAAGUUUUGGCUUGAUGUGUUUCACUCCCUACUUGUUAUAUUACGAUGAUUCCUACGAUAAAGUUCGUGAGCUAUUUUGAGAUACAAGAGUAUAAGUUUGAUCAUUUGAGUAAUACUUUAAGUUUCGGGACGAAACUUAUUUUAAGGGGGGUAGUUUGUAACACCCCAUAUUUUUAUACCCGUUUAGUAAUUAGUUGCAUUAAUUUAUUUUAAGAAAAUAAUUCCAGAUUUCUUUUAUUAAAAAUAUAUAUUUCUUUUUCUAGCUUUGACUUUACCUUUGAAGUGGUCAAAUAAAAAAACUAAAUCCUAGAUUUUCUAGGUUAAUCAAGUCACCUAACUAAUCUAUCAUAAAGGUAGAAUAAGCAAAAGAAAAAAAAACAAAACAAAAGAAAAAAUAAAAGAGGCAAAAAGGGUUCAGUAAGCUUCCCCGUAGCCCUUCCCCUUUUAUUUCUUCAUUCUUCUUUAUUCACCUUAUUCUCCAUCUAUUUUUCCUCUAAUUCUUGAUCUAACACCAUGAUUUUAUAAAUUUUGUUCAACUUUAUCACAAUUCAGACCUUCUUCUCAUCUGUCUUUUAUAUUACUUGAGUUUGUGGGUAUUUUAAAGAAGAAAAACUUGGUUCUUGAUCUAGUGAACGUUUGGCGCGAAAAUCAGAUCAAAUGGGUGACUUUUGAGUCUUUUCUUGAGUAAUUUCAUUUCACUGUUCAAAUUGCGGGUUCGUAGCGGAACCUUUUUGACUUGAGAUUGAGAUUUGUUAACUGUGGUUGGUGAUAAGGGACUUGAAGAUAGUUAGCUCCAGUUGGGUUAAAGAGUGCGUUGGAUCCCUUUUGAUUUAAUAGGACUUUAUAAAGACUUCCGCUGUUAUUUAUUUAUAAGAUUUAUGUUCUGGUUUGUAAUAAUUAUUUUUACAGUCUAUUUAGUUGGUCUGUAAUAAUUAGUUAAAACUUAUUGGUUAUUGUUUUAGUUAGAACCAUUAGCCUUGCGGUUAUUAUUAAUAAUUAUCGCGGCGUA